UGAGCAACCUGCCCCGGACUCUGGGAUAACAGUUGGAAACAGCUGCUAAUACCGGAUACGAGCUGCGAAGGCAUCUGCAGCAACUGGAAAGAACUUCGGUCUGGGAUGGGCUCGCGGCCUAUCAGCUAGUUGGUGAGGUAACGGCUCACCAAGGCGUCGACGGGUAGCCGGCCUGAGAGGGUGACCGGCCACACUGGGACUGAGACACGGCCCAGACUCCUAGGAGG
Molecule: ribosomal RNA, 227 nt
Filed under: uncultured bacterium
Lineage: Bacteria
Description: partial 16S ribosomal RNA
Rfam family: Bacterial small subunit ribosomal RNA
Source: RNAcentral